UACGAAGGGGGCUGGCGUUGUUCGGAAUUACUGGGCGUAAAGCGCACGUAGGCGGAUCAUUUAGUCAGGGGUGAAAUCCCGGGGCUCAACCUCGGAACUGCCUUUGAUACUGAUGGUCUCGAGUCCGGAAGAGGUGAGUGGAAUUCCUAGUGUAGAGGUGAAAUUCGUAGAUAUUAGGAAGAACACCAGUGGCGAAGGCGGCUCACUGGUCCGGUACUGACGCUGAGGUGCGAAAGCGUGGGGAGCAAACAGG
Molecule: ribosomal RNA, 253 nt
Filed under: uncultured bacterium
Lineage: Bacteria
Description: partial 16S ribosomal RNA
Rfam family: Bacterial small subunit ribosomal RNA
Source: RNAcentral